CCUAACACAUGCAAGUCUAACGGUAACAGGAAGAAGCUUGCUUCUUUGCUGACGAGUGGCGAACGGGUGCGUAACACGUAGGUAACCUGCCCUGAAAGGGGGGAUAACCACGGGAAACUGUGGCUAAUACCGUAUAAUCUCGCCGUGGCGGUGGUUACGGUGAGGAAAGCUGAGGCGAUUUGGGAGGGGCCUGCGGUCGAUUAGCUGGUUGGUGGGGUAAAGGCCCACCAAGGCGAUGAUCGAUAACUGUUCUGAGAGGAAGACCAGCCACACGGGAACUGAGACACGGUUCCGACUCCUACGGGGGGCAGCAGUGAGGAAUAUUGCGCAAUGGGGGGAACCCUGACGCAGCAACGCCGCGUGGAGGACGAAGGUUUUCGGAUUGUAAACUCCUUAACUGGGGGAAGAGGGAGGACGGUACCCCAGGACGA
This 431-nucleotide ribosomal RNA is filed under the name uncultured bacterium. RNAcentral's name for it is "bacterial SSU rRNA". It matches the Rfam family "Bacterial small subunit ribosomal RNA", at positions 47 to 488 of the family's 1533-position model. The record is from RNAcentral.